RNAcentral lists this transfer RNA (72 nucleotides) under Oryctes borbonicus. It matches the Rfam family "tRNA". Rfam says of the family: Transfer RNA (tRNA) molecules are approximately 80 nucleotides in length. Their secondary structure includes four short double-helical elements and three loops (D, anti-codon, and T loops). Further hydrogen bonds mediate the characteristic L-shaped molecular structure. tRNAs have two regions of fundamental functional importance: the anti-codon, which is responsible for specific mRNA codon recognition, and the 3' end, to which the tRNAs corresponding amino acid is attached (by aminoacyl-tRNA synthetases). tRNAs cope with the degeneracy of the genetic code in two manners: having more than one tRNA (with a specific anti-codon) for a particular amino acid; and 'wobble' base-pairing, i.e. permitting non-standard base-pairing at the 3rd anti-codon position. The record is from Rfam by way of RNAcentral. Lineage: Eukaryota; Metazoa; Arthropoda; Insecta; Coleoptera; Scarabaeidae.
AAGACUGUGGUGUAGUUGGUAGCGUGUCCGUCCGGCAAACGGAAGUCGUAGGUUCAAGUCCUACCAGCCUCU